ACAUUUUUUUAAUUAUUGUUCUUUAUUUCUAAUAUUUCUGAUUUCUACUCCGCAAGUGCGGAGCUAUUUACAUCUGUGGUAAUACACGAUAUACCAAAGCUUACAGAAUAGAAUACAAGUUGGGUCACUCCGGUCGGCGUUCAAAAUCCACCCCGCAGUUCCCCGUCUUCCCGGUGCACCAGACCUGGGCACAUUUAUUUAUCCAUGUAUCCGAGCGCUCCAAGCUCAUUUCAGUUUUACUUACAUUUCGGUGUAUAGGGUGGAGUUUAAAGAAAUAGUUGUGGGUUUUAUUAAUUGUGUAGAGAAUAAAAUGUCUAAUCGAAAUAUUUGUUCAGUGGAUGGUUGUGAAAGUCGAAUGACAGAUCAGAUAUCGUUUUUUAGGUGCCCUAAAGAUGAAGCAAGGUAUCAAGCUUGAAAAAAUGCCCUAGGAUUUAUAGGAUCCCAUAGAUACGCGGAUAAUACUCCAAAGCAAUGUUAUAACCGUAUUAGAAUUUGUAGUUUGCAUUUUAAUGAUGACAACUUUACAAAUUCCUCGAAAACCCGAAUUCAUUCGUAUGCCAUCCCAUCGAUUGGAGUACCUACCCAAAAAGACAAUGCACAUUUUCCUAGAGCCAGUGUUAAUGCCAUUGUUCAGACAGAACCCUUCAAAGUAAAUGAGCCAAAGCAGCCGUUACUAAAAGUGGUACGGGAUGGAGUAAAUGCGUAAAUCUGGCUGAGCCAAAUUUUGCUGAGAAAAUGCAAACAAUGCGGCGUUCUGAGAAUAAGGAUUUAUACUUAACUGAUCAAGAGGCUGAAGAUGUUAUAGAUAAUUGAGACGAAGAUCCAGAUUAUGUUAUUUAAGAAAGUGAAGACUCCAGAGAUAAAGCAUUUCGUUCAGACAGUGAACUUUUAAAACUAGAUGAACCUCUGGAUAAUUAACAACAAACUAGAUCCGAUGAUCCCUUACAAGCAGAAAUGAACAUAUUCCAGAAAAAAGAUGGUUUGCAGUGGCAAGCGAAGAAGCCUCCCACAAACACAAAAACUUAACAAUAUUAAAGGGUUGCCAGCUCUAACCUCUAAUAAUAACCCGACUAAAUCAGACAUUUGGAUUUUUUUAGUAGAACUUGGACAAAUAUAAAAAUUAUAUAACUUCUAUUAGAGAAAAUUUGUCUAAUUUCACUUGUAACAUAUAAGUAAGUUAAAUAUUUUUUAAUACACGUGGGGUUAAUGUGCAAGUAUUAUAAACUAUUAAUAGUAUUAAGCAAUUAUAUGUAUUAAUGCAAUUAGUUUAAAUGGGUUGAUGACAUAAGGGAAAUAUGUAAGUAACACCAAUUGGUGUAAUCAUUUAAUUUUAUAAUAAAAUAUAGC
Anthonomus grandis grandis is the source of this 1347-nucleotide long non-coding RNA. RefSeq lists it as uncharacterized. NCBI's taxonomy places the organism in Eukaryota, Metazoa, Arthropoda, Insecta, Coleoptera, Curculionidae. The transcript is spliced from 4 exons. The record is from RefSeq and is a predicted model, not a curated record.